RNAcentral lists this long non-coding RNA (2728 nucleotides) under Oryza brachyantha (malo sina). Its description in RNAcentral is "long non-coding RNA (OBRA_LNC002211)". Lineage: Eukaryota; Viridiplantae; Streptophyta; Magnoliopsida; Poales; Poaceae. The record is from RNAcentral.
GCCCAGCCCAGCCCAGCCUAAUAAGCUAACAACCCUAAAAUCAGGUGGAAGGAGGCCUUUGUGCUUGUGGGCUCGAUCGAUGCCCCCUCCUCCUGCUUUUCCCGGGGCGCCGCCGCUUCCCGACCCAACGUCCGGCGGGCGGCGGCGAGCGAUAGCUUCGCUGCGGACGCGCGCUACUCCAGGAGGAUCUGGGUCCGGUGGGCAUCGGCGGCGGCGAGCGGAACUUCAGCUCCGGCCAGAUCGACCGCGCCCUCGCCGCUGGCCUCCGUGAGACCAGGUAUGUUCGCGCCUUUAGGCCAUCCUCGGCCGGAGCUUCGGCUAGGGCAGAAUUUAGCCAGCAACGACUUUUGUUACCACAUCGCCAGUUCUCAGACCGUGAGCGAGCUCAGUUUAUCAACAGAAUUUAGCCACAAUAGUGAGCAUCGCCGGUUCUGGCUGAGAUCGUGAGACCAGUCUAUCAACGCGGCCCCAAUAGUGGCAGACGCGUUGGACAUUAGCGUUUAGCUUCUUUUUUUUUUUAACAAAAAAAGAAGAACAAAUUGUUAUUAGUUGUUCGACCUGGGUGGUUUGUCACCCUUACCUAGUUGUUGACUUAGGGGAGUGUGAGAUGAAAGACUGAGCAAUUUUGUGUUCUUUGUGUUGUGCGUACAAAUGAUUGAUCAUCCAUGCAUUUCGGUUGGAACAAAAACUCACUGUUUCCUCUACAGCUGUAGGAGAUGAUCACAUCCUAGUUAGGGCCAGAAGUUCCAAUCAAAACCAAUUGCAUGCUCGAGAGUUAAAGGAGUGGUGUUCUCCAACAAGAUCUUGUUGGCGUGUUACUUUGCUUAUGGUGAUGAUCUCAGUAAUCCGGAGCUGAGGAUGCAGUAUUAUAUAUUUAUGCAAUAAUAACAAUGAUCAUGGAGGUGAGUAUACUGUACAGCGAUUUAUAUUUUAUAAAAGAACUCCUUUUACUAGCUGUUUAGUUCUGGCCAGUUUCUUGUUUGUUUGUUAUGAGCAUUGGUUGUUAUUUCCUCCAGUCAAAAUUUUUUAUUGUUUACGACAAGAUUUGGUCAAACUUAUAAAAUUCUGACAAAUGAUUUUAUGUUAUAAGAAAUUUACAAAAUCUAAUAAGUUUAUGAUAUUAUGAUAGUACUCUUCGAGGAGAAUAUAUGUGUACAUUUAUCUUGUAUUUAAACUAAACAUUUAAGAAAUUAUCGAUGGUUGGAAUUUUCAAAGUUUGACCAAAUCUCGUCCUAAACGACAUAUUUUUGACCGGAGAGAGUACUUUUGAGCUCAGGCAAGGUUGAUGUAAUACAAUCUAGAAUGGCAAGAUAUUGAUUUAUGUUAGUCAUGUGUUCUUAUUGGAAGCAUUUGAGACCACAUCUGUUUCUCUAAAAAUGCAAAGGUCACCUUAAUAACUUUCUUCUAGAAUAUAUGCAAUUAGCAUGGUGACUUGCACAUAUUGCGUAGCAUCAUUAUAAAUAUUGUAUGUACACAUGGGUUCUUAUCUUGAUAUUAAUUAUUUUUAAAUUUUUAAUUCGAAUUUCAGAUUUUUCUAAAUUGUAUUGCUAUGAGGAACAUUACAUUAUUUUUCUUUAUUUUUUAAUUCUCAAUUUGUAUUUAUACUUGUAUCCUAAACUUGUACUUGUACAUAAACUCUUUUCUAUAUACUAUUUAUUUUUUAAUUCAAAUUUUAGAUACUUUUAAAUUGUAUUUGUACGCUGACUCUUUCUCUUAAAUUACUUAUUUUAAAGCUAAUUUUUAGAUAUUUCAAAAUUGUAUUUAUAGACAAACUCUUCAGUCAAUAUUAUUUUUUAAAUUUUCAAUCCAAAUUUUGUAUUUUCCUAAAUUGUAUUUACACAUGGACUAUUUUUUUAGUUUUCUUUAUUUUAAAUUCCUAAAUUGUAUUUCUAACUGGAUUCUAUUGUUUGUUUUUCGAUUAAUGUGAGAUUGUCUAGCCGGUGAGAACGAAUGUGGUGUCUCCUUUUCCUAUUACUUUAUAUAUAAAAUAGAUUCCUGAUGUGUUGUCGACAUGAUUUAUACCUAUUUUGACUGUAACACUUCAAAAAUGCCAUUAAAUAUCAUUUUUUUUAACAAUGCAGCAUUUUCUCAUGGCUUUUGUGGUAAUGCUGUGCCAGCCUUUACUUUUUAGCUCUACUGUUAUUUAUGUUUAAAGUAGAAGGGUAUAUACAUUAUGCUUUAGGUUUGUUCUUCCUGAAUUAGCAUGGCAGGUUGAGCUGCUUAUUAGUAAUGCUUUCUGUAGGUUAUCUUGGAGAUUGAUGAAACAAUAGUCAAAAGCCACCCCUAAUAAAACAAUAAAUAUUCUAAAUACUCGGUAGAAAUUAUCAGCAUAUUAAAAUGGUGACAAAGGUACACAUUAUUUCGUUCUCCUGCAAACAGUCGAUGUGGCCACUUGGAAAUGAAAUCUUGAGGGCGAUAGCCUUUAUCAUUGAUUUCUAUCAUUUUCUCUAAUUGUGGGGAAGGAGUAUAAAGGAGUGCGAUUAUUACAUAGUUAGCACCAUUGAUUUCUAUCAUUUUCUCUCAAUCAAAUGCCAGUUCUACUUUUUAAGACAUAUAUGAGCAUCUCGUACUACUAUGGCAAUGUCACUGUGCCAUUUGUGCACUAGUUACCUGCAUUACCAUUUUUCAUACCUGGCCCAUCCAUCCAUUCUGGUACUUGGCAUACUCAACUAAUCUCAUAGAAACGUUCAGAUUUCUCCUCUGCUUCCAGUGUGUAAUAGUGACUGUG